This is a long non-coding RNA of Monopterus albus (swamp eel), 253 nucleotides long. RefSeq lists it as uncharacterized. The record is from RefSeq and is a predicted model, not a curated record. The transcript has 3 exons. NCBI's taxonomy places the organism in Eukaryota, Metazoa, Chordata, Actinopteri, Synbranchiformes, Synbranchidae.
CAGCCCUCCUCACCCCUCUCCUCUUGCUUCCCCAGCCAAUCCAAGUUCACCAUCACCAAGUGUGAAUUUGGCGAUGUCCCCAAGGACACCAACAGCAAGCAUUGACCAGGAGGAUUCAAGCCUGACAAGAUAUGUCAGGUCAAUCCUAAUGAAACUGGACAAAAUUGAGCAGCGUCUUGAGGUCAUUAAUUCUGCAAUAAGCCAUGGUAUUACAUCUCAGGACCCUGAGAUCUUGGAGGACUUUGGAACACCA